GUGAUGAACAAAACAGAGCGAUUUGUCCUAAACAAAUUAUCUUUUUGGAAAAACUGAACAUUUGCUAUCUAACUGAGAGUCUCCUCAUUGAAAACAUCUGAAGUUCUUCAAAGGAACCAGCUGCCAGACUUCAUCCUGGAGGAGCCCCACAGCAGUCAGCCUGACAGAAGCUACAGAGGCAGAUCUCUACCAGGUGCCCUGGGGCCCGAAGAAAGAGUUCCUGCAGAGUCUGGUGAGAGCCAGACAGUCUGGAAUACUCAGCGCUCACAGGGUGUCAGAUGCCCUCCUGUCAGGCACCAUGUCCCCUCCCCCAUCCAGCUCGGUCCCCUCUCUGGGGGUUGAGGAGUGGGGACAUGUCAGACCCAGGCGGGGAGGAUGAGGGGCUGCGCUGGCUCUUCAGAUAUGGAUGACAGUGGAGAGCUGAGCAAACGUGAGGCCCGGCCGCUCCGCCUCUACCUGAUCAGGAGGUUGAAGCCACGUUGCUGUGCUGAGAUUUUUGCCCAGUACUGUGACCGCCAGAGGGAGCGCGGCCUCACCCUGUCUGGGGCUGGGAGUAUCUGUCAGUAGAAUCGAGGAGAGAAAACAGAGGGAGAGCAUAGAGAAACAGAAGAUCCAAGCCUGAAGCCUUGGGCCUGUAUUAAUUAAGCGUCUUAGAGUAGGAGUGCUGAUCUAGGAUCAGGUCCAUGUUAUCUGAUUCAUUAUGAUCUCAAAAGCGAAACAGAUUCUAGAACAGCACUCCUACUCUGAAACGCUUGGUAAAUACAGGCCCUGAAGACCUGCAUUCUGCUCCACUCCUGUCACAUUGUCAUUGGAAGGUCCAGUUCUGAAGGCACUUUGUACAGCACAAACAUAAGACCUCAAUUGAAGCGCCGUUGCAGAAUAUACAGCCCACCGAAUAGAGAAUAUAGUCUCCGCUUUAUUUUAAUGUGUCCUAUGUCUUUUGUGUUAUCUUGUCGACUAUGAUAAUUUACUCAUAUUCAUGUUUAUCAGUAAUGGUCUUCUGCUGUAAAACCACAAUGUAACUUGUGUAUUUGUCAUUUUAAUCCUUAAACCCCUGCUCAAAUAUUUGUUGACAAUAAACAACAUGGAUUUUAAAAAUACAA
Oncorhynchus tshawytscha (Chinook salmon) is the source of this 1103-nucleotide long non-coding RNA. The record is from Ensembl. NCBI's taxonomy places the organism in Eukaryota, Metazoa, Chordata, Actinopteri, Salmoniformes, Salmonidae.